CCUACGGGAGGCUGCAGUGGGGAAUAUUGCGCAAUGGGCGAAAGCCUGAUGCAGCGACGCCGCGUGAGGGAUGAAGGUCUUCGGAUCGUAAACCUCUGUCAGCAGGGAAGAACGGUCACUGUGCUAAUCAGCAGUGAAUUGACGGUACCUGCAAGGGAAGCACCGGCUAACUCCGUGCCAGCAGCCGCGGUAAUACGGAGGGUGCGAGCGUUAAUCGGAAUUACUGGGCGGAAAGCGAUCGUAGGCGGUAUGUCAAGUCAAGGGUGAAAUCCCCGCGCCAAACGGGGGAACUGCAUUUGAAACUGGCAAACUAGAGUGUAGCAGAGGAAAGUGGAAUUCCAGGUGUAGGAGUGAAAUCCGUAGAUAUCUGGAGGAACAUCAGUGGCGAAGGCGACUAUCUGGCACAUAACUGACGCUGAGGAGCGAAAGCGUGGGUAGCAAACAGGAUUAGAUACCCUAGUAGUC
This 465-nucleotide ribosomal RNA is filed under the name uncultured bacterium. Its description in RNAcentral is "partial 16S ribosomal RNA". It matches the Rfam family "Bacterial small subunit ribosomal RNA", at positions 338 to 795 of the family's 1533-position model. The record is from RNAcentral.